AUAUGAAGAAAUGCCAUGAAGCCUCAUGGGGUAAUAAUCUUUGGUGGAGAAAACAACUCCAGGGAAAUGUACAGAAAAACAAGACACAAUAUGGAAUGGAGCUGCUCAUCCUAAAAAGUCACCAGCUGAAGGCAAGUGAGUGAUACUGUGCUGUUAUAUGAAAUAAAGUGCUCUACAUCA
Lonchura striata (white-rumped munia) is the source of this 180-nucleotide non-coding RNA. NCBI's taxonomy places the organism in Eukaryota, Metazoa, Chordata, Aves, Passeriformes, Estrildidae. The record is from RefSeq and is a predicted model, not a curated record.